GUCAUCUGCCAGUACACCUCUGUCACCUGGACAGGGCACCCGCUUUAACUCCUGGAGGCUGAGACCCACACUAAGACAGGUAGUGGAAGAAAAAAUGAAGAGUGGUGUUCUGCUGGACCUUGUUCUUCCUAACAAGGAAGGGCUGGAUGGGGAUGUGAAGGCUGGGAAUAACCUUGUAUGUAGCAACCAUGAGAUAGUGGAGUUAAGGAUCUUCCUUAACUUCUUCCUGGGAGAAACAGAGUAACAAGUAGAAUUUAAAACCUGGACUUCAGAAGAGAAAACUUUUACCUUUUCAAGGA
Molecule: non-coding RNA, 299 nt
Organism: Coturnix japonica (Japanese quail)
Lineage: Eukaryota; Metazoa; Chordata; Aves; Galliformes; Phasianidae
Source: RefSeq, a predicted model, not a curated record